RNAcentral lists this ribosomal RNA (253 nucleotides) under uncultured bacterium. RNAcentral describes it as "partial 16S ribosomal RNA". It matches the Rfam family "Bacterial small subunit ribosomal RNA", at positions 524 to 776 of the family's 1533-position model. The record is from RNAcentral.
UACGUAGGGUGCAAGCGUUAAUCGGAAUUACUGGGCGUAAAGCGUGCGCAGGCGGUUUUGUAAGACAGAUGUGAAAUGCCCGGGCUUAACCUGGGAACUGUAUUUGUGACUGCAAGGCUAGAGUUUGGCAGAGGGGGGUAGAAUUCCACGUGUAGCAGUGAAAUGCGUAGAUAUGUGGAGGAAUACCGAUGGCGAAGGCAGCCCCCUGGGUCAAGACUGACGCUCAUGCACGAAAGCGUGGGGAGCAAACAGG